UACGAAAGGUGCAAGCGUUACUCGGAAUCACUGGGCGUAAAGCGCGCGUAGGCGGUCUUGUAUGUCGAUUGUGAAAGCCCCGGGCUCAACCUGGGAAUAGCAGCCGAAACUGCAAGACUUGAAUGUUGGAGAGGGUGGGGGAAUACCUAGUGGAGAAGUGAAAUUCGUAGAGAUUAGGUGGAACACCAGAGGCGAAGGCGCCUGCCUGGCCAAACAUUGACGCUGAGGCGCGAAAGCGUGGGGAGCGAACAGG
RNAcentral lists this ribosomal RNA (253 nucleotides) under uncultured bacterium. RNAcentral's name for it is "partial 16S ribosomal RNA". It matches the Rfam family "Bacterial small subunit ribosomal RNA", at positions 524 to 776 of the family's 1533-position model. The record is from RNAcentral.